UUGAAUACACUUGGUUGGGUUGCUGCUGGCUUUUUGAAGCAUGUGCACACCUACGCCAAUUUUAACCACCUGUGCACAUUGUGUAGAUUUUGGAUGCUUGAGGAUAGAUAUUUAUCUGUUCUUGUAUUCAAGUUUACAUUUAUAAUAUCACACCAAAGAAUGUAUUAGAAUGGUUUUAACAGGCAUUUUUGUGCCUUUAAAAUUAUACA
RNAcentral lists this unclassified non-coding RNA (209 nucleotides) under uncultured Agaricomycetes. RNAcentral's name for it is "sequence contains ITS1". The record is from RNAcentral. Lineage: Eukaryota; Fungi; Basidiomycota; Agaricomycetes.